GAUCCAAACUGCCAAUGCCCCUCUCCCUUCUUAUCUUAUUUUUAAUAUACCCUUUUAAGAAACUUCUCAUGCCCCUCCAACACCUUCUUUCCUACACACAUCCAACUCCUUUCAUAUCUUCAAAACCAAGCACCAUGCCCUAACAAACUUCCUUUUAUAUCUCAACUUCUCCACGUUAUCUUUCUUUCCUUUCUUCACAACAAUCCCAUGUGCCUCA
Molecule: long non-coding RNA, 217 nt
Filed under: Elaeis guineensis (African oil palm)
Lineage: Eukaryota; Viridiplantae; Streptophyta; Magnoliopsida; Arecales; Arecaceae
Description: long non-coding RNA (EGUI_LNC031009)
Source: RNAcentral